RNAcentral lists this long non-coding RNA (245 nucleotides) under Homo sapiens (human). RNAcentral describes it as "HSALNT0018770". Lineage: Eukaryota; Metazoa; Chordata; Mammalia; Primates; Hominidae. The record is from RNAcentral.
UAAAAGUUUUAAAUAAGGAAAGGCAAUUAUUUAAAAAAUAAGAAAAUGCAGAUGCCCAGGGUUUGCUACUGGAGAGAUCUGAUUCAGAAGGUCGGUGUUAAAUUGCAUUUGGACUUUUAUGGCUAAACAAAACAAAUAUUUCAAGAGGUGGGGUGAGGAGAAUGAGCUGACAGAUUCUCAGUAAUGCAGCCAAGGAUGUGAAGAGGCAGGUCCGGAGCUUGCUGGAAGGACCAACUGUGCACACU